This 555-nucleotide ribosomal RNA is filed under the name Epinephelus fuscoguttatus (brown-marbled grouper). RNAcentral's name for it is "partial large subunit ribosomal RNA". It matches the Rfam family "Bacterial large subunit ribosomal RNA", at positions 1850 to 2604 of the family's 2925-position model. Lineage: Eukaryota; Metazoa; Chordata; Actinopteri; Perciformes; Serranidae. The record is from RNAcentral.
AGGUCCCGCCUGCCCUGUGACUAUAUGUUUAACGGCCGCGGUAUUUUGACCGUGCGAAGGUAGCGCAAUCACUUGUCUUUUAAAUGGGGACCUGUAUGAAUGGCAUAACGAGGGCUUAACUGUCUCCUCUUUCAAGUCAAUGAAAUUGAUCUCCCCGUGCAGAAGCGAGGAUAAAUACAUAAGACGAGAAGACCCUAUGGAGCUUUAGACACUAAAGCAGAUCAGUAUCAAUACCCUGAACAUAGGCUACGAACAAACUGAUCCCUGCCCUAAUGUCUUUGGUUGGGGCGACCGCGGAGAAAAAUAAAACCCCCGCAAGGACUAAAUGUACUACAUUCACAAACAAGAGCGACAGCUCUAACUAACAGAACUUCUGACCAAUAAGAUCCGGCAAUGCCGAUCAAUGAACCGAGUUACCCUAGGGAUAACAGCGCAAUCUCCUCUUAGAGCCCAUAUCGACGAGGAGGUUUACGACCUCGAUGUUGGAUCAGGACAUCCUAAUGGUGCAGCCGCUAUUAAGGGUUCGUUUGUUCAACGAUUAAAGUCCUACGUGAU